UGGGGAAUUUUGGACAAUGGGCGCAAGCCUGAUCCAGCCAUGCCGCGUGCGGGAAGAAGGCCUUCGGGUUGUAAACCGCUUUUGUCAGGGAAGAAACGCUCUGGGCUAAUACCCUGGGGUAAUGACGGUACCUGAAGAAUAAGCACCGGCUAACUACGUGCCAGCAGCCGCGGUAAUACGUAGGGUGCAAGCGUUAAUCGGAAUUACUGGGCGUAAAGCGUGCGCAGGCGGUUAUGCAAGACAGAUGUGAAAUCCCCGGGCUCAACCUGGGAACUGCAUUUGUGACUGUAUAGCUAGAGUACGGUAGAGGGGGAUGGAAUUCCGCGUGUAGCAGUGAAAUGCGUAGAUAUGCGGAGGAACACCGAUGGCGAAGGCAAUCCCCUGGACCUGGUACUGACGCUCAUGCACGAAAGCGUGGGGAGCAAACAGGAUUAGAUACCCCCGUAGUCCCUGAGCGGGCUGGCAAGGCGCAU
Molecule: ribosomal RNA, 473 nt
Filed under: uncultured bacterium
Lineage: Bacteria
Description: bacterial SSU rRNA
Rfam family: Bacterial small subunit ribosomal RNA
Source: RNAcentral